Molecule: ribosomal RNA, 482 nt
Filed under: uncultured bacterium
Lineage: Bacteria
Description: partial 16S ribosomal RNA
Rfam family: Bacterial small subunit ribosomal RNA
Source: RNAcentral
AUUGAACGCUGGCGGCAUGCCUUACACAUGCAAGUCGAACGGUAACAGGUCUUCGGAUGCUGACGAGUGGCGCACGGGUGAGUAAUACAUCGGAACGUGCCCAGACGUGGGGGAUAACGAGGCGAAAGCUUUGCUAAUACCGCAUACGAUCUAAGGAUGAAAGCAGGGGACCGCAAGGCCUUGUGCGUUUGGAGCGGCCGAUGGCAGAUUAGGUAGUUGGUGGGAUAAAAGCUUACCAAGCCGACGAUCUGUAGCUGGUCUGAGAGGACGACCAGCCACACUGGAACUGAGAAACGGGGCUGAGUCCGACGGGAGGCAGCAGUGGGGGAGAGUGGACAGUGGGCGAAAGCCUGAUCCAGCCGUGGAGCGUGGGGGAAGAAGGUCUUCGGAUGGUAAAGCACUAUAAGGUGGGAGGAAGGGCAGUAAGUUAAUACCUAGCUGGUAUGACGUGACAAAAAGAAGAAGCACCGGCUAAAUUCGGG